This 1124-nucleotide ribosomal RNA is filed under the name Virgibacillus carmonensis. RNAcentral's name for it is "bacterial SSU rRNA". It matches the Rfam family "Bacterial small subunit ribosomal RNA", at positions 327 to 1443 of the family's 1533-position model. Lineage: Bacteria; Bacillati; Bacillota; Bacilli; Caryophanales; Bacillaceae. The record is from RNAcentral.
CGGCCCAGACUCCUACGGGAGGCAGCAGUAGGGAAUCUUCCGCAAUGGACGAAAGUCUGACGGAGCAACGCCGCGUGAGUGAUGAAGGUUUUCGGAUCGUAAAACUCUGUUGUUAGGGAAGAACAAGUACCGUUCAAAUAGGGCGGUACCAUGACGGUACCUAACCAGAAAGCCACGGCUAACUACGUGCCAGCAGCCGCGGUAAUACGUAGGUGGCAAGCGUUGUCCGGAAUUAUUGGGCGUAAAGCGCGCGCAGGCGGUCUUUUAAGUCUGAUGUGAAAGCCCACGGCUUAACCGUGGAGGGUCAUUGGAAACUGGAGGACUUGAGUACAGAAGAGGAGAGUGGAAUUCCACGUGUAGCGGUGAAAUGCGUAGAGAUGUGGAGGAACACCAGUGGCGAAGGCGACUCUCUGGUCUGUAACUGACGCUGAGGCGCGAAAGCGUGGGGAGCGAACAGGAUUAGAUACCCUGGUAGUCCACGCCGUAAACGAUGAGUGCUAGGUGUUAGGGGGUUUCCGCCCCUUAGUGCUGAAGUUAACGCAUUAAGCACUCCGCCUGGGGAGUACGGCCGCAAGGCUGAAACUCAAAAGAAUUGACGGGGGCCCGCACAAGCGGUGGAGCAUGUGGUUUAAUUCGAAGCAACGCGAAGAACCUUACCAGGUCUUGACAUCCUCUGAACACGGUAGAGAUAUCGUUUUCCCUUCGGGGACAGAGUGACAGGUGGUGCAUGGUUGUCGUCAGCUCGUGUCGUGAGAUGUUGGGUUAAGUCCCGCAACGAGCGCAACCCUUGAUCUUAGUUGCCAGCAUUAAGUUGGGCACUCUAAGGUGACUGCCGGUGACAAACCGGAGGAAGGUGGGGAUGACGUCAAAUCAUCAUGCCCCUUAUGACCUGGGCUACACACGUGCUACAAUGGAUGGAACAAAGGGCAGCGAAGCCGCGAGGUGAAGCAAAUCCCAUAAAACCAUUCUCAGUUCGGAUUGUAGGCUGCAACUCGCCUACAUGAAGCCGGAAUCGCUAGUAAUCGCGGAUCAGCAUGCCGCGGUGAAUACGUUCCCGGGCCUUGUACACACCGCCCGUCACACCACGAGAGUCGGCAACACCCGAAGUCGGUGAGGUAACCUUU